RNAcentral lists this ribosomal RNA (486 nucleotides) under uncultured bacterium. Its description in RNAcentral is "partial 16S ribosomal RNA". It matches the Rfam family "Bacterial small subunit ribosomal RNA", at positions 30 to 507 of the family's 1533-position model. The record is from RNAcentral.
AUUGAACGCUGGCGGCAGGCUUAACACAUGCAAGUCGAGCGGAAACGAUGUAGCUUGCUACAGGCGUCGAGCGGCGGACGGGUGAGUAACGCGUAGGAAUCUGCCUAGUAGUGGGGGACAACAUGUGGAAACGCAUGCUAAUACCGCAUACGCCCUACGGGGGAAAGGAGGGGAUCUUCGGACCUUUCGCUAUUAGAUGAGCCUGCGUAAGAUUAGCUAGUUGGUAAGGUAAAGGCCUACCAAGGCGACGAUCUUUAACUGGUCUGAGAGGAUGGCCAGUCACACUGGGACUGAGACACGGCCCAGACUCCUACGGGAGGCAGCAGUGGGGAAUAUUGGACAAUGGGCGCAAGCCUGAUCCAGCCAUGCCGCGUGUGUGAAGAAGGCCUUAGGGUUGUAAAGCACUUUCAGGGGUGAGGAAGGGUGUUUGGUUAAUAUCCAAACAUUUUGACGUUAGCCCCAGAAGAAGCACCGGCUAACUCUGUG